This 486-nucleotide ribosomal RNA is filed under the name uncultured bacterium. RNAcentral describes it as "partial 16S ribosomal RNA". It matches the Rfam family "Bacterial small subunit ribosomal RNA", at positions 30 to 507 of the family's 1533-position model. The record is from RNAcentral.
AUUGAACGCUGGCGGCAUGCCUUACACAUGCAAGUCGAGCGGCAGCACGGGUGCUUGCACCUGGUGGCGAGUGGCGAACGGGUGAGUAAUACAUCGGAACAUGUCCUGUAGUGGGGGAUAGCCCGGCGAAAGCCGGAUUAAUACCGCAUACGAUCUACGGAUGAAAGCGGGGGACCUUCGGGCCUCGCGCUAUAGGGUUGGCCGAUGGCUGAUUAGCUAGUUGGUGGGGUAAAGGCCUACCAAGGCGACGAUCAGUAGCUGGUCUGAGAGGACGACCAGCCACACUGGGACUGAGACACGGCCCAGACUCCUACGGGAGGCAGCAGUGGGGAAUUUUGGACAAUGGGCGAAAGCCUGAUCCAGCAAUGCCGCGUGUGUGAAGAAGGCCUUCGGGUUGUAAAGCACUUUUGUCCGGAAAGAAAUCCUUGGCUCUAAUACAGUCGGGGGAUGACGGUACCGGAAGAAUAAGCACCGGCUAACUACGUG